RNAcentral lists this transfer RNA (66 nucleotides) under Endromis versicolora. Its description in RNAcentral is "tRNA-Tyr". It matches the Rfam family "tRNA". From Rfam's summary of the family: Transfer RNA (tRNA) molecules are approximately 80 nucleotides in length. Their secondary structure includes four short double-helical elements and three loops (D, anti-codon, and T loops). Further hydrogen bonds mediate the characteristic L-shaped molecular structure. tRNAs have two regions of fundamental functional importance: the anti-codon, which is responsible for specific mRNA codon recognition, and the 3' end, to which the tRNAs corresponding amino acid is attached (by aminoacyl-tRNA synthetases). tRNAs cope with the degeneracy of the genetic code in two manners: having more than one tRNA (with a specific anti-codon) for a particular amino acid; and 'wobble' base-pairing, i.e. permitting non-standard base-pairing at the 3rd anti-codon position. The record is from RNAcentral. Lineage: Eukaryota; Metazoa; Arthropoda; Insecta; Lepidoptera; Endromidae.
AAUAAAAUGGCUGAGAGUAAGCGAUAAAUUGUAAAUUUAUUUACGAGAAAUAAAUCUCUUUUAUUA